Molecule: ribosomal RNA, 375 nt
Filed under: uncultured organism
Description: partial 16S ribosomal RNA
Rfam family: Bacterial small subunit ribosomal RNA
Source: RNAcentral
GUAGGUGGCAAGCGUUGUCCGGAAUUAUUGGGCGUAAAGCGCGCGCAGGCGGGGUCCUUUAAGUCUGAUGUGAAAGCCCACGGGCUCAACCGUGGAGGGUCAUUGGAAACUGGGGGACUUGAGUACGGAAGAGGAAAGCGGAAUUCCAAGUGUAGCGGUGAAAUGCGUAGAGAUUUGGAGGAACACCAGUGGCGAAGGCGGCUUUCUGGUCUGUAACUGACGCUGAGGCGCGAAAGCGUGGGGAGCAAACAGGAUUAGAUACCCUGGUAGUCCACGCCGUAAACGAUGAGUGCUAAGUGUCAGGGGGUUUCCGCCCCUUAGUGCUGCAGCUAACGCAUUAAGCACUCCGCCUGGGGAGUACGGCCGCAAAGGCUG